AACGAACGCUGGCGGCAGGCUUAACACAUGCAAGUCGAACGCCCCGCAAGGGGAGUGGCAGACGGGUGAGUAACGCGUGGGAACAUACCCUUUUCUACGGAAUAGCUCUGGGAAACUGGAAUUAAUACCGUAUACGCCCUACGGGGGAAAGAUUUAUCGGGGAAGGAUUGGCCCGCGUUGGAUUAGCUAGUUGGUGGGGUAAAGGCCUACCAAGGCGACGAUCCAUAGCUGGUCUGAGAGGAUGAUCAGCCACAUUGGGACUGAGACACGGCCCAAACUCCUACGGGAGGCAGCAGUGGGGAAUAUUGGACAAUGGGCGCAAGCCUGAUCCAGCCAUGCCGCGUGAGUGAUGAAGGCCUUAGGGUUGUAAAGCUCUUUCACGGAUGAAGAUAAUGACGGUAGUCGGAGAAGAAGCCCCGGCUAACUUCGUG
RNAcentral lists this ribosomal RNA (431 nucleotides) under uncultured bacterium. RNAcentral's name for it is "partial 16S ribosomal RNA". It matches the Rfam family "Bacterial small subunit ribosomal RNA", at positions 29 to 507 of the family's 1533-position model. The record is from RNAcentral.